This 28-nucleotide non-coding RNA is filed under the name Mus musculus (house mouse). The record is from RNAcentral. Lineage: Eukaryota; Metazoa; Chordata; Mammalia; Rodentia; Muridae.
UGUGAUAGCCCUUUCCUCAGCGGGAGCA